RNAcentral lists this ribosomal RNA (258 nucleotides) under uncultured bacterium. RNAcentral's name for it is "partial 16S ribosomal RNA". It matches the Rfam family "Bacterial small subunit ribosomal RNA", at positions 524 to 776 of the family's 1533-position model. The record is from RNAcentral.
UACGUAGGGUGCAAGCGUUAAGUCGGAAUUACUGGGCGUAAAGCGUGCGGCAGGCGGUUUUGUAAGACCGAUGUGAAAUCCCCGGGCUUAACCUGGGAAACUGCAUUGGUGACUGCAAGGCUUGAGUGUGUCAGAGGGAGUGGAAUUCCGCGGUGUAGCAGUGAAAUGCGUAGAUAUCGUGAGGAACACCAGAGGCGAAGGCGGCUACCCUGGACAAUUGCUGACGCUCGAGGCACGAAAGCGUGGGGAGCAAAAGGG